GCCCGCGGUGGACCAGCUGCGUAACGGUUCACACACUGAUGGCGCCUGGAGGUUUGGCGAAAUACUGACAGGAUGCGACGUCAACGGGAGCGCAGGGCCAAGAUACCCUUUAUAUCAAACCGUCUAUCCUGGAGCAGAAAAAUCCUGUCUUCAUUGCUAUAGCUACAGAUUCAGAAAUGAGCAUGUAACAAAUUCAGGCCAAAGAGAGGCAAUGGAAAUCAGAGAAACACUGUUCCUGAAAGCUUCUGUCACUCAAGAAUCCAUGAAACAUUCAUGAACUUCACAUCAGAAGCCAAGCCCAGAAAAUAUGGGUUUAAGGUUUGCCUAUAUGUCCAAUACAAGAGAAAAAAGAACAUUCCACUUCUUUAGAAGGUUCUACUUUGAUCUCCUGAUUCCAGUUGUGAAAAAAAAUUGUGCCUAAAGAAUAUAGUCCCUUUAUAGAAUUGUUUUGAAACCUACCACAGGUAUUUCUACACAGGUGCUAUUGUGGAGGUGCAUACCCAACAGUUUGAUAAUGUAGAGGAAGUGAUAGCUUUGUCUCGUGGAAUCUGGGUCGACCUCACAGAGGAGCUGUUAUUUGUUCUGGAUAUUGAACAGUGACAAGGAUUCAGUGGGAGAGAAAGAGGCGAGGAUUUUAAUGCAACUUGUUACACAAGAUGAACCCAAACAUAUUUGACUUUUUAUUUUCAGAAAAGCUUAAUACAUAGUUUUGAAUAUGGAUUGUCCCACAGGAUAAAUGCAUGAAAAAAGUUGGAAAAGAGAAAUUGAAUUACAUCCUAAUUGUAGUGUUUUCUCAGGCAGAUCAAUUUUAGAAAGAGAACAUUGACUUGGAAAACUGAAGAGUAAUUAUUCUAAAACGGUUGUAACAGUUUACUCCUUUUAUGUUUGCAAACUUCCAGGAUUAGUGAGUUGCAUAAAGUCACAUAAUUUAUUGCGUUGGUGCAAAAGUAAUUGUGGUUUUUGCCAUUAACAAAACCGCAAUUACUUUUGCAUCAGCCUAAUAUAAGUGAAUAAAUUAAUAUUAGAACACAGGUCUAAUUAAAAGGUUCUGCUGUGUUGUGUCCUGUGAUAACACAGAAAACAAACAAAUGGAUAAUUACAGAAAAAUUUUGGAUAUAAAAUUAGCAGGUAAUUUUCUCCCUCCUUUCCUUCCAUCUUUCCAUCCUUCUUUGCUUCCUUUGCUUUCUUCUUUUCCUUUGUUUUUUGUUUCUCUCUCUCUCUUUUUUUUUUUUUUUUUUUUUUUUUGCAAUUUGGAGAAGGAAGUACUUUAAAAGAAAAGUUAAAAGGCAGACAUAGAUAGCAUGAAGCCUAAUUGCAAGAUCUUUUUCAAACAUAUUAGUUUUAGGAAAUAGCACCUGAAUUUAAGUCCCUUAAAAUUGUCUAUGUCUUCACGUCCAAGUCUCUAUAUUUGCAGGGCUGUGUACAAUCUAGACUGAACAUGCUUGACCUAAAAACAGAAGUAAUACCUGGGGCAAAGCACGAUGUGCACCACAGUCUUCUCUCUUUAGUGUGUUAAGAUAAAGUUGAUUCCCAGAGUAGCCUGCCAUCACUAACUCUGAGGGAUGGUGGGCUAAUUUUGAUAGAAGGAGCAGAGGUGGUAGUUAGGAGGAAGGUGACUCAUCAUCAUUGUAUCAGCAGGCAUUGAUGACUGGAAAUAUCAGGGGGCACAGCCUGAAAGAGAAUGGCUUAAUUGGAAUUGAUAGUGGGAACUUGGAAAUCAAUACAUAUGCACUGAACAGAAAAUGGUAUGCUAUAAUCUACUAUACACUGUAUGUGAAACCCAAGCUCCAAAUUUUUCGGCCCAUGCAAUGUCCAGUAAAAUUUCUCUUAGUUACAUUAUAAUUGCAAUGUACAUGUAUUUGAGGAAAAAAAAAGUGAAAGAAAAAGUAACUAAAGAAAAGUGGAAAUGCAAAACUUUGUUUUUAUUAAUGUUAAAAUUUAUUUUGAUCAACUUGCUAUUCUUAAAAUUGACCAAUCUUCUUCCCUUCCUUGCCUCUUCCAUGGUUUAUAGGAUUAUUUUUCAGGGCUGAUCAGUUGGUGUUACAUGUGACUACUAUGCUUAAUGCUAUCUGGCUUCUAACUUUAAGCACUGAAAAAAAGUCCUUCGUAUUUCUCAGUGUGUGAUUGAACUGAGAUGACCAUCCUAAGCCUCCUCAUUACAUAAAUCCUUACCUUCUCCAGAAGCAACGAAUGGUGUUGAGAAUAGCAUAUGUUACUACUCAGCCAUAUUCCAUAGCCUUUUCUCCAAGAUAUUUUUCCAAAGUUGCCCCUUUUCUGAAUCCCUUGCAAGCAAACAAACAACAAAACAAUGGGUAAUAAAAUAAUUGUUUAACUUUCAUUUAUAUGCUCUGAGAUUGAUGUGAUUUUGAUAAAUAACUAUAUUAAAAGACAAAUGGGAGUGGUGAUUUUGUGAAAAGCCCAUGCCUCUGCCCAUGGAAUAUGUGGCUUGGCCUGGAGCUCUUAUUUUACUUAUAUAUUUCUAAGCAGAAUUAUUCAAGAAUGUCUCUUAUUACAGGUCUUGAAACUUGGACAGCCAACAGAAAGGAAGCUAAUAAAUAAAUUUGUCAGAACACGAUUCUCAGUUUCACUUAUUUUGAAUUAAAGGUAACCUGGAAAAUGGAUUAGGAAAACAGCCUAUAAUCAGAGGAGUGACCCCAGUGAGACCCUGUCAUUAAAACUUUAGUGUUGAGCCUGCAAACCUCUGUUCCUCUGAUUAGGCAAUUUACUCCAUUUCCACCUUUCUGUCUGCCAAAACAUUUAGUGGCAAAACAUUUUCUAAUUCUCUAGACUCAUAAAAUGUUGUUUUGAAAAAAAGUAAAACAGAAUGGAUUACCUUUUUAAGCUGUCUAUCAUAAUGUAAUCAGAAAACAUGAGGGAUUAAUAGAUAAUAUUGUAAAGAGGCAAAGGCAGCAGAUGUUAUUUAGAUGAGCAGAAGGUCACAGACCUCUGUUGAGGAUUGAAAGCUUGAGGUACGUGCCUUUGUUCCUCAGUGUGUGUGGAUCAGAGUGAUUACUGAUAUCAGUUAGCAACAUGGUGGAGGGGACAAACUGGGGCUGCAUUUUCACUAUGUUUAUUAUUGCUCAAGGUCAAAAAGUGACUGUGUAGUGCCUCAGUUUUUACAUCUUUGUGUUAUCAAUAUUUUUUUCUAUUACCUUACAAGUUUAUUUUGAUGCUGUAAUGAUGAGACAGUGUUUUGAAAAGUUCUAAAUAAAUAAAAGGGUAUUCUCUAACUUUUAAA
This 3238-nucleotide long non-coding RNA is filed under the name Homo sapiens (human). Its description in RNAcentral is "POT1 antisense RNA 1". The record is from RNAcentral. Lineage: Eukaryota; Metazoa; Chordata; Mammalia; Primates; Hominidae.